Molecule: long non-coding RNA, 6747 nt
Filed under: Sus scrofa (pig)
Lineage: Eukaryota; Metazoa; Chordata; Mammalia; Artiodactyla; Suidae
Description: lncRNA (ENSSSCG00000059199.1)
Source: RNAcentral
GGCUGACCUGAGCACCAACCAAAUGAUUAACAUGAGACUUGGGUUCUUCCCUGUUUAGGUCUAGACUAGAGCAAGCCUUUCCUACCACAACUAUCAGCUGAAAUCUUGGUCCAAGAGGCUAGCAUUGCAGAAGAGGAAAGCUGAGAUCCAGAUACCAGAAAGGAGACAUAAAUACCAGACAUCAAAGUGCCAGAGAAGGGAAGCCAUGUCAAGAACUCAGAAGGAAGAUUUUUAAGCCAGUUAGACACAGGGAUUGCAGUAAAGUAGGCUAUUGAAAAGUAAGGAGGAGAGAAGGGGUGGAGCCCUCGGCCAUUGCCUCCAAUUUCAGCUCUAAUCAUGUCUCAAUUUGAUGAGAUCACUGAUGAAGUAUGUGGACACAUGAAGCAGAGCUGAUAAAUGUAUUCAAAGCAUUUAUUCUACUGAGGUGCAGCCUCUACCCUUCUGAUUGCAUGUUGAACUUUCUUCCCUGAGUGUGUCUUUGGAGCUACAUAUUUAAUAUACCUAAAAUGGGAAAUAACCUCUCCUGUAUUUGUCAGAAAAAAUAACACACGACUUGGAAAUGGACAAAAGCAUACCUAGGGGACCCUCUGUGGAUUAUCUAAUUCUAUAGGAGUGCACAUCUUUUAUUAUCUUUCUGUUGACUGAGUUAUUUUACACUCUGAAAGUGCAGAAGUUGUAGAAAACUGAUAGCUGUGCAGAUGACUCUUCUCCACAGCAGUACAAGGGUAUUUUGUCCCAUAGAAACAUUUGAUCACUAUAAUAUGGAAAAAAAUGUCCCAAGUAAUUCUAUCACCCUUUAUAAUAUAUUAACCAGUUUGUCACUUAUUAGGAAAUUAAUAUCAGCAUUCUUGAUUGACCAUUUUUGGGGUAUGUGUUUAUGUGUGCAUCACCGUUUUUUUUUCCCAUUAAUUAAAAAGUUGAAUAAAAUCUUUAACAUAUGUAUUCUAUAUGUACAGAGAACCAUGUUUUUAACUUAUUAACAAUUAUACUAACAUCCUUAUUAUUAAUAUCUUUACCAUGCUAAACACUUGGAAACACUGAGCUUUCUCAUUCCCUGGCUCUCCUUUGUAAAGUCAAUAGCUAAGUUAAAUACACUUUAAUUCCCAUUCCUGCUAUCAGUGAACCAGUUCAUAUCCCGAAUAUUUUGUACUUCGGCUGAUUGAAUGACCCAGUACUCUCUAAACUGGUCUUCUAAAUUUGUCUCCCUCACUGUCACAACCCAAACACAAAAGCCAAAUCUUUUUCAUCUAAGCUCAGGUCUCAGCUCACACACCUGGUUCAACUUCCUAUCCACUCAUAAAUCAAGCCCCCAAACUUCAUCUCCUUCACUGGAGAUAUCCAAGUCAUCUUCUUAGCCCUGCAUUCACUGACCCCUUGUAUUAAUUUGCCAGGUUGCCCAUAAUAAAGUAACAAAGAUUGGAUGGCUUAAACAACAGAAAUUAAAUUCCCCAUUGUUCUGGAAGGGAGAAGUCCCAGAUCAAGCUGUUGGCAGGGCUGGUUUCUUCUGCGGCCUCUCUCCUUCACAUGUAGAUGACCAUUCUUUUCCUGUAUCUUCACAUGGUUUCCCUUGUGUGUGUCCAUGUCCUAACCUCUCCUUGUAAGGAUACCUGUCAUAUUGAAUUGGGACCCAUCCAUAUGAACUCGUUUUAACCUAAUUCCCACUUUAAAGGCCCUGUCUCCAAACACAGGCACAUUCUGAGGCACUGGGGGUUAAGACUUCAACAUAUGAAUUUGGGAGGAACACAGUUCAGUCCACAACACCCCUACAGGAGGGAAGAAAAUGAAUGUUUGUUGAGUGCCUCCCAUGAAUCAAGCACUGUGUUUUAGGCUUUCACAUAAAUUAAAAAAUGAUUUAUUGGUGUUUUUCUGAACAGAGCCCAACCCAAUUUCUACUUGUGAUACAUCACCUCAUCUAAAAUAUCUCCCUCUGCAAGAAUCCUGGUGUCCUUCUAUCAAAUGCAAUGUCUCUUUACUUUGAAACCUCCCUGGCACUUAAUUUGCCCCGUUUAUGUUACCUUCAAAUAUUACCUGGUUUUGUGAUCAUGUUGUACUCCUGUUUUAAAUAUUAGAUCAUUAAUUUUUUGAAGGCAAGUCUAUUAUUGACUCUUUUAGGACUCUCUUGAGGUAUAUGACUUGUCUAGAAUAAAGAUAUUUGUUAAGAAUUUAAAGGAAUAUGAAAAAAAUUUUGUGGAAGAAGGGAAGGUAGUCAAGGUGUUUUUUGUUUUUUGUUUUUGUUUGUUUGUUUGUUUGUUUUUUUGUAGUUGGGGAGAUGUUUGCCGAAGAAUAAGGCAAGAGAAGAGAAGGAAACACAAAAGAGAAGUUAGAUAACAGCCAUGAUUAUAAAGCUUCUAAGUUAGAGGCCAAUGAUAUACACACUUUUGGAACCUAGACAUUCUAAUACUUUAUCUUUUAAUUGAUGGUAUUCUUAGUAAAUCCUAUUCCACUUAAGUGGUUUCAUGCCUUUGAGCAAUGGAGAACAUUAUGAUUUGUGGAUCAAAGUGAUUUUGAGAUUGAUCCACAUUCCCACUGUAUCACAUUGGUUUGAAAAUCUGAUUUCAGCUAAUUUGUCUCUCACAAUCAGCUGGGGUAUGACUUAGGCUAACUUAUUGUGUUGCAGCAAAUAUAUUCUGUAGUUCAGCCAAUCUGGUCUGGUUUGUGAAGCAUGAAAAGACUUGAAGGUCUCAGCUAAUGUGCAUUACACAUGUCACAUUCCCCAAACUAGGCCUAAGACUUGUGAGGGUGUGAUCCAUAACUCCAUCUACUGCCACCAGACUGUGAUAUUUAUUGCUGUGAAAAUUCCCAUGACAAAUUUGUUUCUGUGGCACAUUUACCACUAUAAAUUGACAGGGAGCCAUAGAUGCGAUGGCUUCAGAUGUAACAGCCCCAGUACUUUAUUAUUUCUUUCAAGUUUUGGACUUAGGCUGCUGGGAAAUUUUUAGAAGUUCCUGUUUCCUUGGAUUAUUUUUAAAAUAACCAGCAAAUCAUUCUUUUAAUAGAAUAUACUAUUAUUCAAACCUUUUCUCAAGUAAAGUUUCAUCUGAUUUCUAAAUUUAACAGUAUGCUCUUAUCUCAAAAUUUUAGUCACCAUCCAUUUAACAUGUAUUUUUUCUCAUUAUUGAAAUAUUCUAGAUGCUUCCUUUUAUGAGAAAUCGGGACUAGACGUAACAAUCUAUACAGGGACUUUGGUGGGGUGAGGGUGUAAAUAUGCUUUCUCAUUAAAGUAAGAUCUUCUAAAUUGAGAAUUGUAGUGUUAGAUUUGUGGCUUCAGUGUGUAUGGGGCUCUGUGCUGUGUCUGAAAGACACAGUGAUGAAUGAGACACUGCCAGCUCUCAGGAAGUUCACAGUCACCUGAGGAAAGACACAAAUAACCAUCUAUGUGAACCACCUAUUCUCAAAUGGGGGUGGUUUUACCCCCCAAGGAUGUAUUGCCAAUUGAGGUGAGGAUUUCCUACAGGCAGUUAGAUGUACACAUAGAAAGAUUUAGUCGGUCACUGGGCUGGAGAUGUAGAGGUGAGCAUCAUAACAUGAGUGUUGUUAAAAUCAAAAGGCUGGGAAAAUUACCCAGUGACAGAGUGUGGACCACCAGGGCACUUGGUUAGGGGCACCUGCGUUAAAAAGGAGAUGCAGAAAGAGGACUCACGAAGGCAUCUGAGAAGAAUAGUACUAUAAUAACAUUAGCAAACAGCUUUUACUACUAUGUGCAAAGAGCUGUGCUAAGCACUUUACUAAUAUUAUUCCUCAUAACUAGCCUAUUUUUUGUCAGCUCUUUUGAGCUGUAUUGAAGGAGGAAUCAACAAUAUCAAACCUUCCGUACAAUGCGGGCUAAAAGUGUCCAUAGAUGUGGCAGUUAGGGAGUCACCGGCAGAUUUGGUGAGAGCAGUAUCUUAGAGUGAUGGAACUGGAAGCUAGAGUCCGGUGGUAGAGGAGCUGCAGGCUGAUGUGGAAGUGGAGAUGAAGAGGAAGGAAAUGUGCACCAAAAGGAAAGGGAAGAAAAUGACAGUGUUUUAACGGACACAGACUAAAGGGAGGGUAUUUUUUUUAGGAUGGAAGAAGGGGAAGAAUUGCAAAUAUUGUUUAUAGACCUUGAGAAAAGAGAUGAAGAUUCCUUGUAGACACUAAGAAAACUGGCAAACUUGACAAGAAAGGACAGGGUAAGAGACUUGAGAGGCGGUGCCUGGGGCCCAGCUGAAAUAGGAUACCACUUUCCCCCAAUCCAGUCCACUGUGGCCCCUUUUUGGAAUCUCUUCCUUCUUAUGGAGUUUGGAUUUAUCUAAACUAUUCUUUCAAGGAGGAACUUUAAGUGUCUCAUUAUCUUCAUUUCUCAGGACACCAGGCUACAAAAUAUAUCACAUGAGUAAUAUACUAUAGUCUGCCUUCUCUGUUCCUACAAAUCUGUUCAGGCAAAAAGUUCAAUGUCCAAAGGAAAAACACUCACUAUAGAAUUACUGUCUGUCCCAGGAGAUGAGGACAACCCAGAGAAGUGUCGUUUAAUUUGCUGAGUCUCUGUGGUCAUCUUACCACAGCAUGUUAAAGUAUAUUGAACAUUUCUUCCAUUAAUAACAAUGCUAAGACAGAAUAAUUUUUCCUUCCCCAAAUAUUUUCUUACUUCUGCAUCUUAGUCUGACCAAAAAUGUGUUUUCUAUACAAUUGCUAGACUCUACCACUUAUUUAACCAUAAAGGUUGAAUGCCUGAAAUGUAAUAGGUCCUAUUUUGUAGGACACAUACCACAUAGUCCUGGCACUGGAAGAGCUCACAGUCUACAAGAAAAACAGAUAGGUAAAUAACCAUUUAGAAUAAACAAGAAUAAGUGCUUUAAUAGAUGUAACAUAUAAAGUGAUUAUGCAAAGCAAUGCAGUAAGUAACUAUAUCUCCUCCCCCGUAGAAGAAGUCUUCUACUCAAAUACUGAAUUACUAAUAUUUUUAAAUGGGCUGUCAAGAAUAGAAACACCCCCUCUCUUUGCCUGAUGGAUUUUUUUCUCCUCUUUCUUUCCUUCUUUUCUCUCUGGUUUUUACCCUGCCACUUCUCUGCAUGGGCUCCUUUUAUAUUCUGAAAUCCCACUUAAGGGACUUUCUCACUGAUUAUAAUGACAUAGGUCUGUUUUCACAGCUGCAAUCUUAAAGUUUCUUAAUAAUGCCAUGUUUUAAACAUUAUUCUGAAAUGCUAGAAGGUUUGAAGGUGCUCAAAAAGUAAACAGUCAGCUCAUACAAAAGAAAGAGAACAGUUGUAAUAUAAAACUUUCAAUAAUUUGUAUAAAAUCAUUGACACUUCAUUGAAAAUCUCAAGCUCUUAAGACAACAAAAUUCUCCCCCAAGGGGAACUAAUUCACUAGACGUGUGUACAUUAGAACCAGAUGAAGGUGAUGCUGUGAAAUUGGAAAGACAAUUCCUGGGCUUAUUAGAAGCUAGAGACCAAGUAUUUCUAUUUCUACUGGAAUCUGUGGAUUUGGUAAGAAUCCUUUUCCCAGCAGAGCACUUUUUGGGAAUUUGCAUUUAGGUUCAUGAUCACCUUUGACAUCUGAGACUCUGAGGACUUGACAUCAUAUACUAUUAUUAUUAUAAACAGAGCUCCCAAGCUGUUAAGCUCAAAUUGCUACUUUGGUGUUAACAAGAAUGGUGCCACAUGGUGAGCAGAUGCUGUUUGUGAAAGUAAAUGAUGCUUUAAGAAUGUUUUACUCUCAAAAGGAAGUAUACUAGCAGAUAUCUUGUAUCGAAACUCUGUGUACAUGCUCAUUUGACCACCAUAAACAAUGUUUAGAGAGUCCAGGUUGUUACUUAAGAAUAAAUCAGGGAGCUCUUGAACAUUUGGAUAGAUAUUUAUAUUCACCUUAGAGCAGGACAGACAUUUUUCUCUAUGUUUAUCCUUUUAAAAAUGUAUGUAUUUCACUUCAGGGCUCGAUAGAUCUUUCAGAUGGUAUCUGAAUAGAGCUUCCUCAGCACAGAGGUGAUUUAUUUUUUCCAAUGAAGGAUUUACUUAAGUCUGCUAUUUAGGCAUUUAACAUUAUUAUAUCUGGGUGUAGAAUUCCUUUACCUUGGACAGACUGAAAAAACUCCCAAGACUAAUUAGGCAAUUUAAAUGGUGAAUAAUGCUAUUUCCCUAUGCAUUUGCUUUGUAAGUUAAAAUGAUGAAGAUUUAAUCUUCUUUUUCACAGUUUCUUUUGUCUGCAAAACUAAAGAUCCACUUUUGUAGAAGAGUUUCUUUUGUUUUGUUUUAGAGAGGGAUUUGACACCUGAAUGGUAGUAGUAAUGAAAUUCUCUGUGGGUUAGGCUUCAAAAAAAAAAUAUUAACAUGAAACUAAUAAAGUAUUAACAAAUAAAUUGAGUUUGUAGUGGUAACCAUUUCCCUAUGUUACAUGUGCUAACUGUAGACUUAUGUAUGAGUAGUUCGAAGCUUUGCUCUGAUCGCUCGUAGCCAUCAAUGCAUUUCUUAAAAAAUAAGACAGCUGGAGGAAACUAUAAUAAAUAAUUUUAUCAGGAUGAAAUUAUGAACCCUUCAGCUACCACAAGAUGUUCUUUUUUUCUCUUCAAGAAAUUUAUUUUCUUUUAUAAGGACUAAAGUUCUAACAUAUUACAAUCUGAAAUUUGAGAUUAAAUAUAAAUACAACUGAAAUAAAAUAAGAAUUUUACUUCCGGGAGUUCCCCUGUGGCACAGUGGGUUAAGAACCUGGUGUUGUCACUGCAACAACCUGGGUUGCUGCUGUGGUGUGAGUUUGAUCCCUGGCCUGGGAACAUCACAUGCUGCAGAUGAG